AUUGAACGCUGGCGGCAGGCUUAACACAUGCAAGUCGAGCGAGCGGCGGACGGGUGAGUAAUGUCUGGGAAACUGCCUGAUGGAGGGGGAUAACUACUGGAAACGGUAGCUAAUACCGCAUACCAUCGGAUGUGCCCAGAUGGGAUUAGCUAGUAGGUGGGGUAAUGGCUCACCUAGGCGACGAUCCCUAGCUGGUCUGAGAGGAUGACCAGCCACACUGGAACUGAGCCACGGUCCAGAUUCCUACGGUAGGCAGCAGUGGGGAAUAUUGCACAAUGGGCGCAACCCUGAUGCAGCCAUGCCGCGUGUAUGAAGAAGGCCUUCGGGUUGUAAAGCACUUUCAGCGAGGAGGCGUUACUCGCAGAAGAAGCACCGGCUAACUCCGUGCCAGCCGCCGCGGUAAUAC
RNAcentral lists this ribosomal RNA (406 nucleotides) under uncultured bacterium. Its description in RNAcentral is "partial 16S ribosomal RNA". It matches the Rfam family "Bacterial small subunit ribosomal RNA", at positions 30 to 526 of the family's 1533-position model. The record is from RNAcentral.